Molecule: small nucleolar RNA, 106 nt
Organism: Malania oleifera
Lineage: Eukaryota; Viridiplantae; Streptophyta; Magnoliopsida; Santalales; Ximeniaceae
Source: RefSeq, a predicted model, not a curated record
ACUUGAUGGCGUGGGUAUUUACGAAAAAGGUCCCUAAAGCGUUCCCAGGUCUCGAAAAAAAUUUCACCACCUAACUGUGAGAAAUUGGUGAUAUCCUUCCCAAGCU